This 468-nucleotide ribosomal RNA is filed under the name uncultured bacterium. RNAcentral describes it as "partial 16S ribosomal RNA". It matches the Rfam family "Bacterial small subunit ribosomal RNA", at positions 28 to 507 of the family's 1533-position model. The record is from RNAcentral.
GGCGAACGCUGGCGGCGUGCCUAACACAUGCAAGUCGAACGGAAAGGCCCUGCUUUUGGCGGGUGUUCGAGCGGCGAACGGGUGAGUAACACGUGUGUAACCUGCCCCUGACUUGGGGAUAACUUCAGGUAACUGGGGCUAAUACCGCAUAGGAGCUCCUGCUGCAUGGUGGGGGUUGGAAAGUGUCGGCGGUUGGGGAUGGACGCGCGGCUGAUCGGCUUGUUGGUGUGGUAGUGGCUUACGCAGGCUCUGACGGAUAGGCGGCAUGUGAGGGGGGCCGGGGACAUGGGGCCUACGAGAGGGACCAGACGCGAACAGGAGGCAGCGGGGGGGAGUAUUGCGCAGUGGUCGGAAGUGUGAUACGGCGGCGCUGCGUGUGGAAUGUCGGCCUUGGGGGGAUGAACCGCUUUCGCCUGAGACGAAGCGUGAGUGACGGUAAUGGGUAAAGAAGCACCGGCUAACUACGUG